GUUCGGAGGCCGCGGCGGCGGGGGGAGGCCGGGCAGGGAGGGGGAGACCUGUUUUCUCAACGCGAUCCCUGCUGCGGAGCCAUCUCGUGUCUUCCCUGAGACCCCAGGAAUGUGAGGACAUUCCUUCUCCAGGCAGUACAUCCUCCCUUGUGAUGCCAUCAUAAAAAUGAAUGAGAAGUAGCUGCUGAGUGAGUGGCUACCUUAUUAUUGGAUGGAAUUUGAGGCGUGAAUGAAAAGCCACCUGAGAGAAGUGUACUGGGGCUGAAGAACUCACCUAGCUGAUAUGCAAAGAAUACACCAGGCUUAGGAGAGCAAUUAUUGCCAACUUGCUCCUCAGGAGAAAUCAAAGGGGUGUCUCAGCAUGCAGUAUUAAUGAGACUCUAACAUCUUCUCUUGUGUUGGUGGAGUGGAAUAGGGUUUGGAAAUACACUUUAAGCUAAAUCAGCUUCUUAAUAGAAACCAGAAUUAGACUUGGUGAAUCUUUACACUGACUCAGUAAUUGCUUAAGCCUGCUAGGGAAAAAGGGGUUUGCUUUAUUAAAGGCUGAGCCCUGCUUAGUUUGAGCGUCUCCAUUGGCACCCAGUGUAUCCACAGGAGUAUAGAUAAAGGGAUUACACUCUCAAAUAAGGCAAAUUUUAGGGAAAAAAAUAAAUCCCUGGAAUGACAGAAAAAAAAUGCAUGGGGUGAAAAUUUGUUAUCACAGCAAGGGAAGAGAGGGAAUGGGCUAGAGAGAAGGGGGAGAGUAGGAUGGGUGGGAGACAGCAGAGUGGGCUGGCGUGAUUCUGAUGGUGGGGUAAGGAAUCGUAUAGGAUUUUCUUUGUCAUUAGGCUUUCAUUCACAAAAUGGAUUUUUAAUGGAUCAUAUCCUGUUGGCAUACAAACAGACUGCCUGAGAUCCCUCUGCUCUGGCUGAUGAUGCCAUGCUCUUGAGCUGCAAAGGAGGAUUUUGGUUUGAGAAGGGGGUUGGAUGGGGUGUGGGCAUUAAACUGCUUGGGGUUCUGCUCACCAGAACCACAAAGAGCACUUCUGCUGACAAGGAGAAGGGGGAGAAAUAGCAGGGUAGGAGGAUACAACAAUAAAUCCUCUCCGAGGUGUGUGGCUAUGGAAGAAUCUGCUCCAGCAGAAAAAAGCUGGCAGUUACAGUAGUCAGGGAGCAGCUGGAGAGAGCAACCGACAGUGCAAGUGGGAGCACAUGGGAAACAAUGGGAGAUGAAGCAUGAAGAGGAAGAAUUAAAACCAAGUGGAAAGCAAAGCAGCCAAUGCUGCUGAUCUGUCAGUUUAGAGUCGUUAUUUUGGAUCUGCCCUUCUCUUUGGCUAUUGUACUCAUUUAUUUAUCCCUAGCCAGAAUCAAAUCAUUCAGCCUUACUUAUUUGUGUAAUCUGCCUUUGCUGUUGGUGUUCCUGAAUAAGCCAUGCACAGGGAUGAGGCAGGAGCGGGGGCUGGGAUGAACAGCUUCUGUUUUCCUGUAAAAUACCUAUUUAAUGUCCUGCAGCCAAAAACUAAACUCAGUGUUAGGCAAAACCUGAUUGAGGAAGAAAAUGGUAAAGGACAAUAUCUUACUCAUCAGGUUAAACUUAACAAUGUAAAGAGAAAUUAUAACUACUUGACAUUGGUCUGCAAUUCUGCAGGCUCAUGCACCUCUUCACAACUGUGCCAAGUGAAAUGGAGAAAGGAUGAAGGGUUAGCACAGGGGUACCCGAGUGCCACAGAAACUGUGUGCAGGCUUCCACUGACUUAUUGCCCAUCACUUCCCCUAAUGGCUGGGAAUAGGAUUAUUAGAUUAAGCUACAAGUGGUUUAAUACCCCUGGAUGCAAACUGCAGUCAGCUAAUAAAGUGGUUUUAACAUGUAAAUAAUUAGAGGUAAAUAUAGUGCUGAUUUUUUAUAGGUAAUAAGAAUUCUGCAAGUCAUGCUGUCAUUAGAAGUCCCUCACAAAGCGGUGACUGCAGUCGGUAGCUGUAUGAGUGAAGUGAUUAGUAUCUUGCCUGUGCUCCUUAUUCGACAGGACCAAAAAUACACCCUUAAAAAUACA
Molecule: long non-coding RNA, 2030 nt
Organism: Pezoporus occidentalis (night parrot)
Lineage: Eukaryota; Metazoa; Chordata; Aves; Psittaciformes; Psittacidae
Exons: 2
Source: RefSeq, a predicted model, not a curated record